GCCCGGGUGGCGGAGCUGGCAGACGCACGGGACUUAAAAUCCCGUGGCCGAACAGGCCGUGCGGGUUCGAUCCCCGCCCCGGGCACCA
This 88-nucleotide transfer RNA is filed under the name Deltaproteobacteria bacterium. RNAcentral describes it as "tRNA-Leu". It matches the Rfam family "tRNA". Rfam says of the family: Transfer RNA (tRNA) molecules are approximately 80 nucleotides in length. Their secondary structure includes four short double-helical elements and three loops (D, anti-codon, and T loops). Further hydrogen bonds mediate the characteristic L-shaped molecular structure. tRNAs have two regions of fundamental functional importance: the anti-codon, which is responsible for specific mRNA codon recognition, and the 3' end, to which the tRNAs corresponding amino acid is attached (by aminoacyl-tRNA synthetases). tRNAs cope with the degeneracy of the genetic code in two manners: having more than one tRNA (with a specific anti-codon) for a particular amino acid; and 'wobble' base-pairing, i.e. permitting non-standard base-pairing at the 3rd anti-codon position. The record is from RNAcentral. Lineage: Bacteria; Pseudomonadati; Myxococcota; Myxococcia. RNAcentral also lists the same sequence under 1 other name.